CAGGUCAAUUUCAAUCAGAGUAAAGGAACACAUUCUUUUUUUUUCCUUUCUAUUAAGCCAUGUUUAUAGAGGUGUUUUAGCCACAAUACAAACCACCACGGAGAUUUCUGAGACAUUAAGGAGACACAAGUAAACAUGGUGGUGGAGCCUUAUGGGUGAUGGUCCUUGGUGGUAUCACACACCCCAUGCUUCCAGGAUGAUGGACCUCAGGGAGAACAGCUCUUGGUGUCGCCGGAAUGACUAUACACCAUAAGCAGGAUGCCAGACGACAGAACUUGUCCUUAUUACAGAACCUCACCCAUCCUAUUAAUACUAAGAACUCAAUAGUUUUGUAAAUGAAGGCAACAGUUUGUCUGGCUUUCUGACUGUUGGCCUCUCCUUAAGCAGCGCCUAAGCAGGUAACAUUUCAUCCGUCCAUACUACUGGGAAGAAAACUUACUUCAAUAAUAACGAGACGAGGUCUUACUUGUUCAAGGUUAUCAGCUAUUGCAAUGAAUUCCUGUACGAGCACAUGCCGGCUAUCUACUACACGCAGGAAUUCCUAAAGAAAACAGACAAGGACAUUAAUGCUACAAUAUUAGAACCCUUAAGCAAAAUACCUUGCAGAUAUACAUGAGUACCGACUACUCUAAUUCACUAUAUUAAUACACUCAGCUCAAGCAAAACCUAAAAAAUUAAAAUCAAUCAAUGUUAUUCUCACAACCAUGAACUGGCCUAUAAAUGAUGGUUUAAAUAAAUGUGCCAAAUUAAAAUACAUUAUAUCUAAGGGUCACUACAAUACAACCAUUCAGAGGAUAUUGCAGUGACUACUAUGCAAUUAAUAAUAAUAAUACAGUAAUCAGAUGUUAAUACUGUAAACCAAUUGCCUGUUUUUUAAUAAACUACAAACUUUUGAAUGUUUUAUAAACUGUAACUUACAAAA
Long non-coding RNA from Homarus americanus (American lobster), 922 nucleotides. RefSeq lists it as uncharacterized. The transcript is spliced from 2 exons. Lineage: Eukaryota; Metazoa; Arthropoda; Malacostraca; Decapoda; Nephropidae. The record is from RefSeq and is a predicted model, not a curated record.